Molecule: unclassified non-coding RNA, 1941 nt
Filed under: Leishmania donovani
Lineage: Eukaryota; Euglenozoa; Kinetoplastea; Trypanosomatida; Trypanosomatidae
Description: gene:LdHU3.08.1280(CDS-product:DnaJ_domain_contai ning_protein_putative)
Source: RNAcentral
CGGUUCCUCACAGCCGACAGGGUGCACCUCCAACCUGUCAUGUGCACUGGACUCCCGCUUCUCUUUAUAUUUAGCUAACAUCUGAGAGUACCCACAACAGGAGUGGAGGCCGCGCGGUGGUUGGUGGGGCACCUUGACGAGUGCGGCGGCGGGUGUGCACCGGCACCCACAUACAGAUAUUCACAGAGAGAAUCAAAGCCCUCAAGGAUGAGCGAGGCGCAGCAGGCGGCUGAGAUUGCGCGAUUGAUGGCGUGCGAGGCGCGCAAGGCGAGCCCCUUCGAGUUUCUCCAGCUCGACAUCGCCACAUGCGAGCUGACCGAUGUGAACCGGCAAUAUCGCAAGAUUGCGCUGCUGCUGCAUCCAGACAAGUGCCAGCUCGCGAACGCCGCGGAUGCCUUUCACGUUGCGGAGAAGGUGCACAAGUCACUCAGCCAGGAGUCCAUAUUUUACCACCUGAAGCGGGCGUAUCGGAAGCAGCAGGAUCGACUAGCAGAGGAGGGAACCUCCGGCACGGGGGCAGGGAGUCGCACUAUCCCCGCCGCUGGCGCCGCGGCGGGGCAGAAGCGCGCACGUGAGGCGGAGACCGCGCUGCCGCCCAUCGCCUUCGGCUCCCUCACGCAACUAGCCGCCAGCGGUCUGUCCAGUGACGCGCAGAAGGCGGCUGAGAUUCGCCGGGUGCUGCAGUGCAAGGCUACCGACUACUUCAUCAUCCUCGACGUGGACCCCAGCAACUGUACCGUGGCCGACGUCGACCGGCGUUACCGCAAGAUGGCCCAGGCGUUGCAUCCCGACAAGUGCCAGCUGCCCCACGUGCAGGAUGCCUUCACCGUCUUCGAGACCGCGCACAAGGAGCUGGCAGACGAGAAGAAACUCGUACGCUUCAAAGUCGCCUUCGAACAGCAGCGAAAGAAAGAGGCGGCGUUGAAGGCGGCGGCCGCGCAGCGCGGCGUGAGCGGCAGCGGUGGUGACGCCGAUAGGUUUGGAUCCGAGGAAAGCAUGACAGCCGAGGAGCGCUUGCAAAAGCGGCGGAUGGAGGCGCUGCGAGAUCAGCAACUGGAGGCCGCGCGCCUGGGCGAGGAGGCGGCGCGGCGGCGUAAACUCAAGGAAGAAAAAGAGAAGGAAGAGACCGCGCUGGCGGCGGAGCUGGAGCGGCAGCGCAAGGAGUGGAACGACUUGCAGCUGUUUUAGACGCCGCCAGUGCCAACAAACCACACAGAUAUGCACACGCUGUGUGUGCGUGCGUGUCGGUGAGGGACUCACUUGAAGCGUGUGUGUGUGCGCGCAAGCGACCGAGGGGCAAAAGGGGGUGGGGGAGGCCAAACACCCGCAUUGCUGCUCUUCUCUUGUCGUCCCUUUUUUUUGCGUGCGCUGCGGCACUCCGUGAUGGCCGGCCGGGUACCCCCCUCCUCCGUGCGUGGUGUCAACAGGGUACCGUGCACCUCACCCCCCACUCUCUCUGUGUGUUUACGUGGUGGUGGUGGUAUGGGGAGCCGCCAAGCAGCCCCGCAUCCCCUGCCGAAUGCCGAACCGCUUCUGGUAGUGACAGGGCCAAGCACCUACGAUGUGGAGAGGUGAGCGCGGCUUACUGCCACUGAUGUCGGCGGCGGGGUCCUGGGUGGCGCUGCCUCGGAGCGACCUGCGGCUGUGAGUAGGUCUUUAUCACCCAUAUGGUGGGCAGGGCGUCCACGUGACCCGCGCGUAUCCGACCGGGCCCUCACACGGCGCACUGGUGUGUGUGGGUGUGGGGGCCGAGCCCCCCGAGGGGCGGGAACGCACCAGGCGAUGGGGCGUGUGGCCGGCCGGUGGGCAGAGCGGCGCCGGCCUCGUGCACCCUGGCGGAGAAUGAACACGCCGAAAAGCAAGUGUUUGUGCGUCUGCUCUUGCUGGCGGUAUCGUUCGCCGAUCCCAUACCCAGAUACGUGCACACGCAUGCAUGCUUUU